Long non-coding RNA from Branchiostoma floridae (Florida lancelet), 920 nucleotides. RefSeq lists it as uncharacterized. The transcript has 3 exons. The record is from RefSeq and is a predicted model, not a curated record. NCBI's taxonomy places the organism in Eukaryota, Metazoa, Chordata, Leptocardii, Amphioxiformes, Branchiostomatidae.
GCAAUGUGGGAACGUGCGCUGAAGGACUCCUCAGAACUAGCGAAGACUCCCGGCUGGGUUCAGCAGCUCAUCCCUGACCUCUACAAGGCUAUCGACGUCGACGGCGAUGGCUCUUUGAAGCUAAGGGAUUACGAAAACCUGUUCAAGGCUUUCGGCAGGCUGGACAACGUCGAACAUGUCUUCGACAGACUAGAUGCGAACAAAGACGGCCAGAUCUCGAGAACGGAGUGGAUUCUCCACUUCCAGGACUACCUGUUCAGCGAGGACCGAGAUCGGCGAGGCAACCUCAUCUGGGGGAACCUGGGGCAGGGCAGUUGGUAGCGACCCCAAGCGUCGAAGAAUAAAACUGCAGCUAGCGCUAAUGCUCGCUACGCCAUGCGUGUCACUAUGGAUACAUGGUUUCAAGAGCUGGCUAGCAGUGCUUUAUCAUACGAUUCCUAGCAUCCAAGACGAUAACUAUAGGUCUAAUGCUCGCUAAGGUUAUUAUGUGCACUUGCUUUAGUUAGCGAUGGUUUAGUGAUCUAGAGUGACUAAAAUGUAUUUAAGCCCCGUUAUGAACGGAUGUCCUCAAAUAAAGAGCGUCUCAUGAACUUACCUAUCAAAAUUCGUUCUGCAGUUCAGUAGAAACACGUGUGCUGCUACCAGUGCAAGCUUGGAUUGAUUAUGACACUACCUGGUGUAUUGAAGCAACCUGUCUCAGUUUGGUCUCAAAGAGACUGUUUUUGUGUUGCUGUUCAUCGUAUCCAGUAAAAGCGGAGACAAUCGUAAGUUCAGGUUCGGACAUUCGAUGAUAGACUGAGGCCUCAACUGACUUUAAAUCUAGCAAUACGGUAAGGAAUUACGAGUUCAAAUGGAAAAGUGCUGACCCAGCUAUUCUGAAAUAAAUGCCACAUACAGCAAGUAUAUGGCGAUGAGUGAGA